CCUACGGGAGGCAGCAGUGGAGAAUAUUGCACAAUGGGCGAAAGCCUGAUGCAGCAACGCCGCGUGAGCGAUGAAAGCCUUCGGGUCGUAAAGCUCUGUCCUCAAGGAAGAUAAUGACAAUACUUGAGGAGGAAGCGCCGGUUAACUACGUGCCAGCAGCCGCGGUAAUAGGUGGGGGGCUAGCGUUAUCCGGAAUUACUGGGGGUAAAGGGUGCGUGGGUGGUUUCUUAAGUCAGAGGUGAAAGGCUACGGCUCAACCGUAGUAAGCCUUUGAAACUGGGGAACUUGAGUGCAGGAGAGGAGAGUGGAAUUCCUAGUGUAGCGGUGAAAUGCGUAGAUAUUAGGAGGAACACUAGUUGCGAAGGCGGCUCUCUGGACUGUAACUGACACUGAGGCACGAAGGCGUGGGGAGCAAACAGGAUUAGAUACCCUUGUAGUC
Molecule: ribosomal RNA, 439 nt
Filed under: uncultured bacterium
Lineage: Bacteria
Description: partial 16S ribosomal RNA
Rfam family: Bacterial small subunit ribosomal RNA
Source: RNAcentral